CAGUUAUUGGUCAACAACAGGAUGCGAGACUAAUAGUGCGACAUAUUUUGUCAAAUGCACUUGUGACCAUACAACCAGCUACGCGAUCCUUUUUCAGACCAGCGAAUCUGAUAAUGAUGCGAUUUCUGAACCAAAUAAAAUUGCCAUGAGCGUGAUAACAUACAUUGGAUUAAUAAUUUCAACUGUAUUCCUGUUAGCAGCCUUAGUCAUUCAAAAUAUAUUACCGGAGUUGAGGAAGUCAACGCGCUUUCAAAUACUAACACAUCUAAUCAUUGGUGCUAUAUUAAGCAACAUCGCCUUCCUGACGUUAGAACUUGCGCACGAUCAGAAGGUAAUAUUAUAUGUAUUUCCUUGUCUACAUUCUGAAAACAUUUUACUUUGGAAUAAUCUUGAGAUUUUAUACUCCAGAGUAUUAUAUGGGCAACCAGUAAUCCAGUAUUUUGCUUGUAUAUUAAUAUUAAAGGCAGGACAUGUAGUUUAAUUAUGGACUGUAAGCCCAAAAUUUAGACCUGGGCAUAUGUUUUAUUUGAUAUAACGAACGAUUGUAUUUUAUAUAACGAUAGGCCCACUGUCAUUUUCUGUAAAAACUACAUACACAUGCAAUUUGACCUCCUCGAAUUUGUUACUUGUUUGAAAUUGGAGUCGAAAUUUUAAAAAAAAUACAUAAAUAAACUUACUGAGCUUUUUAAUACACUUUUUUUUAAAUAAAUAAAACACAUUUAACACAAUAAAACACCAAACUGAAAUUGCUUUAAAAUAUAAGAACAAAAUAAUUUUAAACAAAUAGAAAAUCCAACAAAUAAGACUAGUCAUACACCGUAAGAAUGUUAUACUGUCAAAUUCUGUUUAUUUUUUUCUGUUUAAAUUAUCUGUAAUUUAUAUGCUGUAGGUGUGAUUAUAUACCCUCUAUAAUGCAGUAUAUGUAAUAUAGGCCUAGGCCUAUUGCUGUACAAUACAAUGGCGGAUCAAAUAGAAAUAGAGGGAUGCCAGAGAAAAACUUUUACAGAUAGGGUGUCAAAUACGACCUUUCUCCCCACUUCGGAUCAGCCACUGCAAUAAUAAUCCAAUAUUUGAAAAGUGUGUAAAAUAAGAACAAAAUAAGAUCAUUUUGAGCCUGACAUUAGCAAAAAAAAAA
This is a long non-coding RNA of Anneissia japonica, 1135 nucleotides long. RefSeq lists it as uncharacterized. The record is from RefSeq and is a predicted model, not a curated record. Lineage: Eukaryota; Metazoa; Echinodermata; Crinoidea; Comatulida; Comatulidae. The transcript has 3 exons.